Molecule: non-coding RNA, 216 nt
Organism: Vicia faba (fava bean)
Lineage: Eukaryota; Viridiplantae; Streptophyta; Magnoliopsida; Fabales; Fabaceae
Source: the annotation of a GenBank genome assembly
AUGACAGAAAGUAAAGAAAAAGGAAUAAAACAAAGGAAAGGAGAAGAGAUAUGGUCUCUGAGGCUUCAAAUCUGUGAGUUUUUCAAUCUUCUGAGAUUUCUCCGUUUGUCAAGAGCAUGGUUGCAAAGGGUAUGGAUUGAAGAUUUGAGGAAGGAGGCAACCGUAGAAAAGUUUGAAGGCAUGGAAGAGUUGCUUGAGCAUGGAGUAGAAGCUUGA